RNAcentral lists this ribosomal RNA (442 nucleotides) under uncultured Anaerolineaceae bacterium. RNAcentral's name for it is "bacterial SSU rRNA". It matches the Rfam family "Bacterial small subunit ribosomal RNA", at positions 925 to 1382 of the family's 1533-position model. Lineage: Bacteria; Bacillati; Chloroflexota; Anaerolineae; Anaerolineales; Anaerolineaceae. The record is from RNAcentral.
ACAAGCAGCGGAGCGUGUGGUUUAAUUCGUUGCUACACGAAGAACCUUACCUGGGUUUGACAUAUAGGUUGUAGGGAACUGAAAAGGACCGACCUUCGGGGAGCCUAUACAGGUGUUGCAUGGCUGUCGUCAGCUCGUGUCGUGAGAUGUUCGGUUAAGUCCGCUAACGAGCGCAACCCUCGUCGUAUGUUAUAUGUGUCAUACGAGACUGCCGGUAAAAAGCCGGAGGAAGGUGAGGAUGAUGUCAAGUCAGCAUGACCUUUAUAUCCAGGGCUACACACACGCUACAAUGGCUGGUACAAAGGGUUGCCAACCCGCGAGGGGGAGCCAAUCCCAUAAAGCCAGUCGUAGUCCGGAUCGCAGUCUGCAACUCGACUGCGUGAAGUCGGAAUCGCUAGUAAUCGUGGAUCAGCAUGUCACGGUGAAUACGUUCCCGGGUCUU